Molecule: ribosomal RNA, 1401 nt
Filed under: Triticum aestivum (bread wheat)
Lineage: Eukaryota; Viridiplantae; Streptophyta; Magnoliopsida; Poales; Poaceae
Description: partial small subunit ribosomal RNA
Source: RNAcentral
AUGGCGCACGACUUGCAGGACGACUUGGAGUUCGUCGCCGCCGGCCACGAUUACGACGACUUCGAGUUCGACGAUGCCGGUGGCAACGGGUUCCGAACCUCCGGCGGCGCUUCCCAGCACCAGCUGGAUACUGAGAUGAAUGACACUUCAGCCUUGGAGUACAGACAAGGGAAGGACAUGCAAGAGAUACCCUGGGAGAGGUUGAACUACAGCAGGGAUCAGUACCGUCAGAUGAGGCUAAAACAGUACAAGAACUACCAGAGCCUCGCUAGGCCGCGAGAUGCACUGCAAAAGGAAUGCCAACGAGCGGAGAGAAGAGACGCCUUCUACGAUUUUCACUUGAAUACAAGACAUGUCAAGCCAACAAUAGUGCACUUCCAGCUGAGGAACCUCCUGUGGGCUACGUCCAAGCAUGAUGUGUACGUGACACAGAACUAUUCUGUGAUGCAUUGGUCAUCCCUACUCCGGAGAGGAAAAGAAGUGCUCAAUGUGGCGGGCCCAAAUCAGGAUAUGCAGGGAGGUCGGCCCUUGUCAAGGGUGCAGAUCAGCACCAUGACGGUGAAAGACAACCUCCUGGCGGCUGGUGGUUUCCAUGGGGAGCUGAUCUGCAAGUAUGUUGAUCAACCUGGAGUGGUGUUCUGUACGAACCUGGCCGGCAACAAGAAGUCCAUCACCAACGCCGUCGAGAUCUACAAGUCACCAAACGGCUCCACCCGGGUGAUGGCUGCCAACAACGACUGCGUUGUUAGAACUUUUGACACGGAGAAGUACAGCCUGCUCGCUCAGUUCCCCUUUGCGUGGUCCGUCAACAACAUGUCCGUCAGCCCCGACGGGAAGCUGCUCGCGGUGCUCGGCGACAGUUCCGACUGCCUCAUCGCCGAUUCCGGGUCCGGCAAGGUAAACAGAGAGUAUGUGCUACAAUUUGGCUCGAGAUUUUCGUGCGAUGUGCUAUGGUUGCUCACCGUCAUGGCGUUGGAUCAGGAAAUCGCGAGCCUGCGCGGCCACGCGGACUACUCGUUCGCGUCGGCGUGGCACCCGGACGGGCGCGUCCUGGCCACGGGCAGCCAGGACAGGACGUGCCGGCUGUGGGACGUGCGCAACCCGUCCGACGCGUUCGUGGUGCUGGAGGGCAGGAUCGGCGCCGUCAGGGGGCUCAGGUUCUCGCCGGACGGCCGCUUCCUGGCCGCGGCGGAGCCGGCGGACUUUGUGUGCGUGUACGACGUGGCGGCGGGGUACGCACGCGCGCAGGAGAUCGAUCUGUUCGGGGAGAUCGCCGGCGUGUCCUUCAGCCCCGACGACGGUGCGGAGGCGCUGUUCGUGGGCGUCGCCGACCGUACGUACGGCAGCCUGCUCGAGUUCCGCAGGCGGCACCGCCACGCUUACCUCGACUGCUACCUGUGA